This 446-nucleotide ribosomal RNA is filed under the name uncultured bacterium. RNAcentral's name for it is "bacterial SSU rRNA". It matches the Rfam family "Bacterial small subunit ribosomal RNA", at positions 330 to 792 of the family's 1533-position model. The record is from RNAcentral.
GCCAGACUCCUACGGGAGGCAGCAGUGGGGAAUAUUGCACAAUGGGGGGAACCCUGAUGCAGCGACGCCGCGUGAGUGAAGAAGUAUUUCGGUAUGUAAAGCUCUGUCAGCAGGGAAGAAGAAAGACGGUACCUGACCAAGAAGCCCCGGCUAACUACGUGCCAGCAGCCGCGGUAAUACGUAGGGGGCAAGCGUUAUCCGGAUUUACUGGGUGUAAAGGGAGCGUAGACGGCGAUGCAAGCCAGAUGUGAAAGCCCGGGGCUCAACCCCGGGACUGCAUUUGGAACUGUGUGGCUGGAGUGUCGGAGAGGCAGGCGGAAUUCCUAGUGUAGCGGUGAAAUGCGUAGAUAUUAGGAGGAACACCAGUGGCGAAGGCGGCCUGCUGGACGAUGACUGACGUUGAGGCUCGAAAGCGUGGGGAGCAAACAGGAUUAGAUACCCGCGUA